UCUGCGCUGAACUAGGUUGAAUAUUUCGUUAAUGAAAACUACAACUCCCUUCAGCCCACUGUCCCACAAAGUUCUUGACUUGAUUUCUCUUGUGAAUGAUUUGAUUUCUCUCUAGAGAAACGACGCGUUGGGAUCACAAAAAUAACGAACUAAAUGGAAUUCAAGUCAUUGAACCGACAUCGGUCAAUUAGUUGUUGAAUAACCCGAGAAAAAAAACGAAAUUUCGGUUAAUCGCUCAGCACUUCCCCUCUCUCCAUCGCUCACUCCAGUACUUAAUUCUAGCCGGAUCCUACCGGAACAGGAUCUGGCACCUCUCCGUCUUGGACAGUUUCGUUUUGGCCUGAUCCGGUACCUCUACCUCCGCGCAAAGGGUUGAAAUACAUUUGCCAAAGUUAUAGUUACUGCUGUCUGUUCAGAAAUAAAUGAAAUAAUUCAGAAUAGCCUUCUACGCCGUAAAUAUCUUAUUUAAAAAAUAGCCUAGCUGUGAAGUGUAGCCCAAUGAUAAGGUAUAGCCGACAGCCGGGAACGUGCAACAAAUCUGUCCGCGAACAAACAGUUUGCAGACAAAUUUGGCCUUUCCCAAUAUUUCAAAUCGUCUACAAUCGUGGGAAAACACAGGUUGGAAAACAAAUGGCUCCUGCUGAAAAGAUAAUUCACUAAUCUGUCAGCUGUAGGCUACCAAAAUAUUUGAUCAACUUGUCUUCCAAAAAUUGUUUUAUAAAGUAUAACGAGAGAAAGUGGGAGAGGCUUUUGACACUAGCACAUAGCCUUUUUAGGACUAUAAUGUACUCCUCAUUUUGUAACAUACAAUUGUCUCCACACACCUAGGCAAUUGAUGGAUUCAAAGUCGUUUUCAUUAAUCUCCGAUUCUCAGUUUGUCGGUGUCUAAAUUGCCUGUCAUUUCGAUCAUUUUGUGCUUUCAAGACAACUUGGAACUCUAAAAAAAGUAAGCUGAAUCAUGAUGUCAGUGAUCUUCAGGUCGGAAAGUCAGAGCUCUAGAAGAGGCCAGAGUUCCCCACGUGGAAUUUCAAAUUGGAUGACAUUCAAAAACACAUUUUCCCGGUCAGCUCGUUUUUUCCCCAAUUUAACAGUUCUCUUGAACACACUAAAGUCAGAAGUCGUAGAUUUCCCAGCUCUGAGUUCACAGUUGUUUUGAACGCAGCAUUAAAAAAGAUUGUGCCAAAAUCUCUAAUCGUAAAAUGACGUAGAAUUGCAUUAAAUGCGUUUAUAAAAAGGCCAACAAUUUUUGGGACCCUAGGCCACAAACCUUUUUUCCCAUGUGGGCAACUUCUGUAAAUGCCUCUACUUACUGCUCUAUGCCACUACGCAAAUGUGAUGAUAUGCAUGCAAUGCUUUCUUAUAAAGGUUAUAUUUUUUUCUCAUGCAUUCCAGUUACUCAGAGCUCCCCAGGUCACCCCCCCUCUCGUGCUCACUUGUUCCGGCAACUCCUGAUUUACAAAUUAAGCACUGCCUAGCUCUUUUUUCUCCCUCAGUCAGUCAUUUUGCAGUAAUUCAACAGUCAACAACUUCACAGUUAACAACGUCUAGCCCAGGGGUGUCAAAUUCGAUUCCCAAGUGUCUGCGGGUUUUAGUUUUUCCUUUCAAUAAAGACCUAGACAACCAGGUGAGGGAGUUCCUAACUAAUUAGUGACCUUAAUUAAUCUAUCAAGUACAAGGGUGGAGGGAUAACCUGCAGACACUUGGCCCUCUGUGGAAUGAGUUUAACACGUGAUCUAACCCUUACCGAGCUCUCUCUCUCUGUGGCUUGUAUUCUUUCCCCUGGCUUCCUAAAGAUCAUCAAGGACAUCAACCACCCGAGCCACUGCCUGUUCACCCCGCUGUCAUCCAGAAGGCGAGCAGUGCACUCUUAAUCCCACGCCAGAGUCCAUGCCCUUGUGGAGCAGAGAGCAUACGCUGGCGACCGUCAACCCAGCUCCAGUAGAUGAGGUAGCAGCAUAUCGCUUAGGGGCCCUGGCAUGGGUCACAUCCUGCCAUGGCCCUACCGCAGCCCUCAGGGAGGGACCAUCCCAGUCAACUCCCCCCUCCACUAUCACUGCAUUUCAUGUAGGACCUGAGCCCUAGGACCAUGCCCCAGGAUUACCUGACAUGAUGACUCCUUGU
Long non-coding RNA from Oncorhynchus tshawytscha (Chinook salmon), 2121 nucleotides. RefSeq lists it as uncharacterized. The record is from RefSeq and is a predicted model, not a curated record. The transcript has 3 exons. Lineage: Eukaryota; Metazoa; Chordata; Actinopteri; Salmoniformes; Salmonidae.